UAAGGAAUAUUGCUCAAUGGCCGAAAGGCUGAAGCAGCAACGCCGUGUGAAGGAUGAAUGGCUUUUGUUUGUAAACUUCUGUAAGAGGAGAAAAAUACCCCGUUUUACGGGAUUGAUUGUAUCCUCAGAGUAAGCCCCGGCUAACUACGUGCCAGCAGCCGCGGUAAUACGUAGGGGGCAAGCGUUGUCCGGAUUUACUGGGUGUAAAGGGUGCUCAGGUGGAUUUGUAAGUCAGAGGUGAAACUCCGGAGCUUAACUCCGGAACUGCCUUUGAUACUGCAAAUCUUGAGUUUGAGAGAGGGCAAUGGAAUAUCUGGUGUAGCAGUGAAAUGCGUAGAUAUCAGAUAGAACACCAAUGGCGAAGGCAGUUGCCUGGCUCAAUACUGACACUAAAGCACGAAAGUGUGGGGAGCAAACAGG
RNAcentral lists this ribosomal RNA (420 nucleotides) under uncultured bacterium. RNAcentral describes it as "bacterial SSU rRNA". It matches the Rfam family "Bacterial small subunit ribosomal RNA", at positions 355 to 776 of the family's 1533-position model. The record is from RNAcentral.